GGCAGAGUGUACAAGGGCGUGCUCAGGGCAAGUGAAGCAUUUUAAAAGCUUUUGGAUUGGAUGUUUUUCUUUUUUUCAGUGCUCCAAAAGUAAAAGGAAGAAUGAAUUGGAUUUCUCUGAUGGAUGUUCUUAAAGGCUCACAAUAACAGGAGAUCACCUGCACUUGUGAGCAGCGAUAGUGAGAGGGAUGAAGCCAUUUCUGCUACUAUUAGAGUUAAUGGGGGACAUGACUGGGCAGGAACCAUCCCAGGAGUGGACCUACAAAGACACUACUGUGGGCCAGCUCCCUGAGAAAGCUGAUGGCAAUUUCCAGCACAACCCACAUAAGAACAAAUGUGAAGCACCUGGGCACCUUACACUGGUGAAAUCCUGUUCCCAGGAACCCUGAACCCAGGCUGUGGC
Molecule: long non-coding RNA, 402 nt
Organism: Gallus gallus (chicken)
Lineage: Eukaryota; Metazoa; Chordata; Aves; Galliformes; Phasianidae
Source: Ensembl